This is a long non-coding RNA of Jaculus jaculus (lesser Egyptian jerboa), 468 nucleotides long. RefSeq lists it as uncharacterized. The transcript has 3 exons. The record is from RefSeq and is a predicted model, not a curated record. NCBI's taxonomy places the organism in Eukaryota, Metazoa, Chordata, Mammalia, Rodentia, Dipodidae.
UGAGACAGGGUCAGAGAUGUGAACAGAGGAAGUUGUUGCUUGGGCCUGGGUUAGAGGCAGUCACAGUCCCUUCAGGACGACUGGCACCAGUGACCUUGCUGGGGAAAGGAACGAAGACAUAGGUGUCUGGGCCUGGGACCCCCUGCCUGAGAGACGCAGGAACCUCUUCCUUCUGCUGUGGACACAGCGCCCACCUUCAAGGCCUGAGGACUCCUCAGCUUCGAAAGCACCCAUCCCACCCACCCCAAGCCGGCUUUCUUCCUGUUGUGUGCUUCUUGGAAAGCACGGCUGGGUUCCUGCGGGAGACGGCUCUUACCUGGACUCCUGAGAAAACACAGCCAGGGCCUAAAGCCUCUCGUUCCUCGGGCCUCAGAGCGCCCGGGCGCCACUGUCAGAAGAGCAGAGCCGCCCCGCGGUCAGCAGCCUGCACGGGCGCCGAGGGAUGAGGACGCCAGCGCGCCGAGGGAC